RNAcentral lists this ribosomal RNA (429 nucleotides) under Gemmatimonadota bacterium. RNAcentral's name for it is "Gemmatimonadetes bacterium partial 16S ribosomal RNA". It matches the Rfam family "Bacterial small subunit ribosomal RNA", at positions 355 to 776 of the family's 1533-position model. Lineage: Bacteria; Pseudomonadati; Gemmatimonadota. The record is from RNAcentral.
UAGGGAAUCUUCGGCAAUGGACGAAAGUCUGACCGAGCAACGCCGCGUGAGUGAAGAAGGUUUUCGGAUCGUAAAACUCUGUUGUUAGAGAAGAACAAGGACGUUAGUAACUGAACGUCCCCUGACGGUAUCUAACCAGAAAGCCACGGCUAACUACGUGCCAGCAGCCGCGGUAAUUCGUAGGUGGCAAGCGUUGUCCGGAUUUAUUGGGCGUAAAGCGAGCGCAGGCGGUUUCUUAAGUCUGAUGUGAAAGCCCCCGGCUCAACCGGGGAGGGUCAUUGGAAACUGGGAGACUUGAGUGCAGAAGAGGAGAGUGGAAUUCCAUGUGUAGCGGUGAAAUGCGUAGAUAUAUGGGGGAACACCAGUGGCGAAGGCGGCGCUCUGGUCUGUAACUGACGCUGAGGCUCGAAAGCGUGGGGAGCAAACAGG